RNAcentral lists this transfer RNA (66 nucleotides) under Ausejanus albisignatus. Its description in RNAcentral is "tRNA-Asn". Lineage: Eukaryota; Metazoa; Arthropoda; Insecta; Hemiptera; Miridae. The record is from RNAcentral.
UUAGUUAAAGCCAAAAAGAGGCAUUUCAUUGUUAAUGAAAAAAUUGAUAUUAUAUAUCUAACUAAA